GACGUAGGGAGCAAGCGUUGCCCGGAAUUACUGGGCGUAAAGAGCUCGUAGGCGGGGGCGUGCGUCCGAAAGGAAAUCUCAGGGCUCAACUCUGGGGCUUUUUCGGAUACGGCGCUUCUUGAGGGUGAGAGAGGAAAGCGGAAUUCCAGGUGUAGCGGUGAAAUGCGUAGAUAUCUGGAGGAACACCAGCGGCGAAGGCGGCUUUCUGGCUCAUUCCUGACGCUGAGGAGCGAAAGCGUGGGUAGCGAAC
RNAcentral lists this ribosomal RNA (250 nucleotides) under uncultured bacterium. Its description in RNAcentral is "partial 16S ribosomal RNA". It matches the Rfam family "Bacterial small subunit ribosomal RNA", at positions 524 to 773 of the family's 1533-position model. The record is from RNAcentral.